Lycium barbarum (goji berry) is the source of this 106-nucleotide small nuclear RNA. The record is from RefSeq and is a predicted model, not a curated record. NCBI's taxonomy places the organism in Eukaryota, Viridiplantae, Streptophyta, Magnoliopsida, Solanales, Solanaceae.
GUUCAUUCAAGGAAACAUUGGAUAAAAUUGGAAAGAUAUAGAAAAGAUUACCAUAGUUCUUGCUUAAAGAUGGCACACACAAGUCGAGAAUCAGUUCAAAACACGU